CGGACGGGUGAGUAACGCGUGAGUAACCUGCCUUUCAGAGGGGGAUAACGUUCUGAAAAAGAACGCUAAUACCGCAUAACAUCAAUUUUAUCGCAUGAUAGGUUGAUCAAAGGAGCAAUCCGCUGGAAGAUGGACUCGCGUCCGAUUAGCCAGUUGGCGGGGUAACGGCCCACCAAAGCGACGAUCGGUAGCCGGACUGAGAGGUUGAACGGCCACAUUGGGACUGAGACACGGCCCAGACUCCUACGGGAGGCAGCAUG
Molecule: ribosomal RNA, 260 nt
Filed under: uncultured bacterium
Lineage: Bacteria
Description: partial 16S ribosomal RNA
Rfam family: Bacterial small subunit ribosomal RNA
Source: RNAcentral